GGCGUUGGAGCACCACCACCACCACCGCCGGCGCCCGCCAUGAGGAACGGCUUCCAGGAGGCGUGCGACGAUGAGUGGGAAAGCAGAUUUUCUUUCCAUCCUAUAUCUGACCUACCACCUCCAGAGCCAUAUGUACCUGUGAACAAAAGUUAUCCAAGUAAAUUAGCAAGAAAUGAAAGCAGAGGUGGCUCUGGCCGAAAAGAAAGAGGUGCUCCCCCUCUUCCGCCUAUACCAAGGUGAAAUGGGUUCUGGCCCAACCCUGGGCACCUUCUGUUUGAAAGUUUCCUUCGAGUCAGUUUUCCUGUCCACAUCAUUGGAAAGUAGCCUAUCUUGCUUUAUUUCUACCUUUGGCUUGUCAGCUGGAAUGAACUUCAUUGUCUAUUACAGAAGUAAUAGACACAGCUUAUGAACUAUAGUUGCUUAAAGCUACCAAAUUUAUUUGCUUAUAUUGCAGGC
Tinamus guttatus (white-throated tinamou) is the source of this 456-nucleotide non-coding RNA. Lineage: Eukaryota; Metazoa; Chordata; Aves; Tinamiformes; Tinamidae. The record is from RefSeq and is a predicted model, not a curated record.